UGCAGAAUCCCGUGAACCAUCGAGUCUUUGAACGCAAGUUGCGCCCAAAGCCAUUAGGUUGAGGGCACGCCUGCCUGGGUGUCACAC
This 87-nucleotide ribosomal RNA is filed under the name Indigofera kirilowii. RNAcentral describes it as "partial 5.8S ribosomal RNA". It matches the Rfam family "5.8S ribosomal RNA", at positions 73 to 154 of the family's 154-position model. Rfam says of the family: 5.8S ribosomal RNA (5.8S rRNA) is a component of the large subunit of the eukaryotic ribosome. It is transcribed by RNA polymerase I as part of the 45S precursor that also contains 18S and 28S rRNA. Lineage: Eukaryota; Viridiplantae; Streptophyta; Magnoliopsida; Fabales; Fabaceae. The record is from RNAcentral.